GACGAACGCUGGCGGCGUGCUUAACACAUGCAAGUCGAACGGUGAACCUCUUCGGAGGGGAUCAGUGGCGAACGGGUGAGUAACACGUGGGCAACCUGCCCCCGGCUCUGGGAUAACUCCAAGAAAUUGGGGCUAAUACCGGAUGUUCACCGCUUCCCGCAUGGGUGGUGGUGGAAAGGGUUUCCGGCUGGGGAUGGGCCCGCGGCCUAUCAGCUUGUUGGUAGGGUAGUGGCCUACCAAGGCGACGACGGGUAGCCGGCCUGAGAGGGUGACCGGCCACACUGGGACUGAGACACGGCCCAGACUCCUACGGGAGGCAGCAGUGGGGAAUAUUGCGCAAUGGGCGGAAGCCUGACGCAGCGGCGCCGCGUGGGGGAUGACGGCCUUCGGGUUGUAAACCUCUUUCAGCAGGGACGAAGCGCAAGUGACGGUACCUGCAGAAGAAGCACCGGCCAACUACGUG
This 463-nucleotide ribosomal RNA is filed under the name uncultured bacterium. RNAcentral describes it as "partial 16S ribosomal RNA". It matches the Rfam family "Bacterial small subunit ribosomal RNA", at positions 28 to 507 of the family's 1533-position model. The record is from RNAcentral.